UCUUUUGAUUUUCAACUGUCGUCUCCUCCUUUUGGUCUCUCACUUUUAAUUUUCCUUCUCUUAUUUGCGCUACCCUCCCUCUUUUCCUUUCUUUCCCUUUCCCUUUUCCUUUCUUUUCUCCUUCUUUCUAUUCCGAAUGCCUUAUCUACCACCUUCGUUUAACAUCCUUGUUGCUGCCAAUUUUUCCUCUCUCUUGGCCGAAUCGUCUUGAUCGCUUAGUUCUGAUUUAGUUCCCAAUUGCGAUAGGUUGGUAAGUGAGAUUUCUUUUAUUGGUUAGAUUCCGUUUCUGGAUGCAUAACAAAGUUAUGGUUUGUUCUAUUCCAUUUUACUUAACCGGUUCCUUUUGAAAUAUUUCUGAAACCUUUAUGCCGAAUACGAUAAUAUGUGUUUUUGUGUGUUUGUCGUUUAAAGGACCAGAUCUUGAUGUGAACGAGUUAGAUCGAAGUUGAGGAUGUUCCGCACGGUGUGGGAAGUAGAGGUGUGUGUCUGACCGUGAUUAUGUCGUGUGUGUGUAGGCUUUGGCCUAUUGUGUAAAUAAUGAAUUGCAUGUUUAGUUGCUGCCAAUUCCUCAUGUAUAUUGGAUAAAUCCUAUCUGUAUAUUUUACUAAUCCAUGCUUACUGUUACCGUUUGGAUGAAAAUAGCAUGUUAAUACUGUUACUGUUACUAUUUUUUGACAUCAUCAACAUGCCAUACUAUUGCAUGGGGAUUAGGUUUUUGAAGGAGGAAGUGCAUGCAUUUAAUGCCGGAUCGGUUCCCGAUCAAAUUACUAUUUUACUGGCGGUAUAAUGACAACCUACUAUUAUACUAACGGUUCAUCCGCAUAUCUACUAGCAGUUCACCCGCAAAUUACUAUUUGUUGUGUUGGGAGGGAACUCUUACUGUUGAGUGUAACGGAUGGAUGGGUAGGAAAUUUGCACUGUUAAUUCAUGCAUACAGUCUGAUGUUGAUAAUUUUUCUAAAAUAGAUAAACUAAUAUGCACUAUUUACUGUAAGCUCCUAUGAUAUAUUUAAUGUUUAUAUACUUAUUUGUUUCUAUGUUAAGACCACACUGAGCUUCAUAGCUAACUUUUUUAGUUUUUUCCCCUAACUUUCUAGAUAACUCGUGAGGUUAGGGCUUGGACUUGGCACUCGGAGCACAGUUGACAAAUUUUUUUAAAAAUCGUAUUUCCAAUCUGUUUUAUGAAUUCUUUUGGGUUUUAUUGUAUAUUACAGAUUGUGGCAUGGACUCUUUAGGUUUUAGAAAUUUUGCAUUAUUCAUUUGACAAUAAAUCUGGUUAUAGGUUAAUGACCGUUAAGAUAUUUUUGAAGUAAUUAUACAUGAGAUUUUUCUAUUAA
Molecule: long non-coding RNA, 1336 nt
Filed under: Gossypium barbadense (sea-island cotton)
Lineage: Eukaryota; Viridiplantae; Streptophyta; Magnoliopsida; Malvales; Malvaceae
Description: long non-coding RNA (GBAR_LNC018529)
Source: RNAcentral